RNAcentral lists this unclassified non-coding RNA (171 nucleotides) under uncultured Glomus. RNAcentral's name for it is "sequence contains 18S rRNA gene". It matches the Rfam family "Eukaryotic small subunit ribosomal RNA", at positions 569 to 739 of the family's 1831-position model. Lineage: Eukaryota; Fungi; Glomeromycota; Glomeromycetes; Glomerales; Glomeraceae. The record is from RNAcentral.
CGCAGCCGCGGUAAUUCCAGCUCCAAUAGCGUAUAUUAAAGUUGUUGCAGUUAAAAAGCUCGUAGUUGAAUUUCGGGAUCAAUACGUCGGUCGUGCUUCGGUACGUACUGGCGUCAUUGGUUUCUCCCUUCUGACGAACCAUGAUGUCAUUAAUUUGGUGUUAUGGGAAAU